AAAUAUUUUCAAAUCAAUUACUUACAUAAUCAUCAACCGAGUACGUCAGCUCGCCAUCGUCAUAGAGAACAAACCAUCUUCUUUGCCAGCGCUGUAAUUAAAAAAAGAAGAAAAAUAUUACUAAAUAGCACUAAUAUGUCUAUAGCGAUCGGUCGAUGAGAGUGAUGAACUCUAAAACAAAUUUGCAUUGUCGCUUGCAAUUUGCAAUACGAAAGGUGGGACGAGAAAUGGUGAGGAAAGACAAGAUCGCAGACGUUGUCAUUCCCAUGAAAGGCAACCAAGCCCCAACGCCUUCGCCUCCGCCUUCGCCUUUGCAUUGGCACUGAUUCGGUGUGGAUCUGGAUCUGGAUCUGGAUCUGUAUCUGAAUAAGAAUCUGAAUCUGAAUCGGAAUCUGGAUCUGAUUUUCAUUGUUAUUGUUGGUUGCCAGAAUCAUAACAAACGUGCAACAGCCACAAGGGUGUAGGACUCAACGUGUGUCUGAUAUUUAUGCAAAUUGUUAAAAGUCAAAGCAAAUUAAGCUCAACCUUCAGCGAAGAUGACGUUGAAUUCUGUUGCCCCAUUGCGUUGCAAGUUGCUAGAUGCAAGUUGCAAGUUGCAAGUUGCACGUUGCACCUUCCUGCAGUUGAUUUCUCCUCAGUGGAGAGUGUGAGUGGAGUGCUGAGGUGUGUCAGGCGUAUUAUUUAUAAGGCAGAGAAGAAGGCAUCUCGCACGCGAAUAAUCAAGCCUCAGCACCAAUUUUUAGUUUAUGGUCUAGUUCUUUAUAUGUUGUGUAAUUCUUUUUUCACGUUGGCUAUUUUGCGAUCGAAUUCAUAAAUAUGGAAUCAAAUCUAUGCAGUGAAUGUAGGAACUAACGAAGUGAGAGGUAACAACAUGGUUUUGGGCGAUCAUAAGCUAUAUACAAAUACAUAUCUGCAAUAACUUGGUAAAUACGAAACAAAAUAAACUGCAUUUGAAUAAAAUAUAUAAUUAUUUACGUUUAGCAGAAAAUCAAAUGAGACAGUCGCUCUGCGGUUUCCCAAACCCCAAAGCAAAGUCAAGCGUGCAGGAAACCUGAUCAGAUCGCGGGAAAGAUUCUCUGCACUCAAUUACGUCAAACCAGGUUGAUUUCCUCCUUUUCGCUGUCGAGAGAUUGGCAAAUGGG
Drosophila santomea is the source of this 1142-nucleotide long non-coding RNA. RefSeq lists it as uncharacterized. The record is from RefSeq and is a predicted model, not a curated record. Lineage: Eukaryota; Metazoa; Arthropoda; Insecta; Diptera; Drosophilidae. The transcript has 3 exons.